RNAcentral lists this ribosomal RNA (301 nucleotides) under uncultured bacterium. Its description in RNAcentral is "partial 16S ribosomal RNA". It matches the Rfam family "Bacterial small subunit ribosomal RNA", at positions 509 to 807 of the family's 1533-position model. The record is from RNAcentral.
CAGCAGCCGCGGUAAAACAGAGGGUGCGAGCGUUAAUCGGAUUUACUGGGCGUAAAGCGUGCGUAGGCGGCUUCUUAAGUCGGAUGUGAAAUCCCUGAGCUUAACUUAGGAAUUGCAUUCGAUACUGGGAAGCUAGAGUAUGGGAGAGGAUGGUAGAAUUCCAGGUGUAGCGGUGAAAUGCGUAGAGAUCUGGAGGAAUACCGAUGGCGAAGGCAGCCAUCUGGCCUAAUACUGACGCUGAGGUACGAAAGCAUGGGGAGCAAACAGGAUUAGAUACCCGGGUAGUCCCUGUCUCUUAUAC